This 497-nucleotide ribosomal RNA is filed under the name uncultured bacterium. RNAcentral's name for it is "partial 16S ribosomal RNA". It matches the Rfam family "Bacterial small subunit ribosomal RNA", at positions 28 to 507 of the family's 1533-position model. The record is from RNAcentral.
GAUGAACGCUGGCGGCGUGCCUAAUACAUGCAAGUCGAGCGAACAGACGAGGAGCUUGCUCCUCUGACGUUAGCGGCGGACGGGUGAGUAACACGUGGAUAACCUACCUAUAAGACUGGGAUAACUUCGGGAAACCGGAGCUCAUACCGGAUAAUAUAUUGAACCGCAUGGUUCAAUAGUGAAAGACGGUUUUGCUGUCACUUAUAGAUGUAUCCGCGCCGCAUUAGCUAGUUGGUAAGGUAACGGCUUACCAAGGCAACGAUGCGUAGCCGACCUGAGAGGGUGAUCGGCCACACUGGAACUGAGACACGGUCCAGACUCCUACGGGAGGCAGCAGUAGGGAAUCUUCCGCAAUGGGCGAAAGCCUGACGGAGCAACGCCGCGUGAGUGAUGAAGGUCUUCGGAUCGUAAAACUCUGUUAUUAGGGAAGAACAAAUGUGUAAGUAACUAUGCACGUCUUGACGGUACCUAGUCAGAAAGCCACGGCUAACUACGUG